Molecule: ribosomal RNA, 389 nt
Filed under: uncultured bacterium
Lineage: Bacteria
Description: partial 16S ribosomal RNA
Rfam family: Bacterial small subunit ribosomal RNA
Source: RNAcentral
CCUACGGGAGGCAGCAGUGAGGAAUAUUGGUCAAUGGACGUAAGCCUGAACCAGCCAAGUCGCGUGAGGGAUGAAUGUUCUAUGGAUCGUAAACCUCUUUUAUAAGGGAAUAAAGUGUGGCACGUGUGCGGUUUUGUAUGUACCUUAUGAAUAAGGAUCGGCUAACUCCGUGCCAGCAGCCGCGGUAAUACGGAGGAUCCGAGCGUUAUCCGGAUUUAUUGGGUUUAAAGGGUGCGUAGGCGGCUUGUUAAGUCAGCGGUGAAAGUCUGUGGCUCAACCGUAAAAUUGCAGUUGAAACUGGGAGGCUUGAGUACGUUAGAGGUGGGCGGAAUUCGUGGUGUAGCGGUGAAAUGCUUAGAUAUCACGCAGAACUCCGAUUGCGAAGGCAG